UUUGCCUACGGGAGGCAGCAGUGGGGAAUAUUGCACAAUGGGGGAAACCCUGAUGCAGCAACGCCGCGUGAGUGAAGAAGUAUUUCGGUAUGUAAAGCUCUAUCAGCAGGGAAGAAGGAAGACGGUACCUGACUAAGAAGCCCCGGCUAACUACGUGCCAGCAGCCGCGGUAAUACGUAGGGAGCGAGCGUUAUCCGGAUUUACUGGGUGUAAAGGGAGCGUAGACGGUGCAGCAAGUCUGAUGUGAAAGGUCGGGGCCCAACCCCGGGACUGCAUUGGAAACUGUUGAAGUGG
Molecule: ribosomal RNA, 294 nt
Filed under: uncultured bacterium
Lineage: Bacteria
Description: partial 16S ribosomal RNA
Rfam family: Bacterial small subunit ribosomal RNA
Source: RNAcentral